Molecule: ribosomal RNA, 253 nt
Filed under: uncultured bacterium
Lineage: Bacteria
Description: partial 16S ribosomal RNA
Rfam family: Bacterial small subunit ribosomal RNA
Source: RNAcentral
UACGAAGGGGGCUAGCUUUGCUCGGAAUCACUGGGCGUAAAGGGUGCGUAGGCGGGUCUUUAAGUCAGGGGUGAAAUCCUGGAGCUCAACUCCAGAACUGCCUUUGAUACUGAGGAUCUUGAGUUCGGGAGAGGUGAGUGGAACUGCGAGUGUAGAGGUGAAAUUCGUAGAUAUUCGCAAGAACACCAGUGGCGAAGGCGGCUCACUGGCCCGAUACUGACGCUGAGGCACGAAAGCGUGGGGAGCAAACGGG